RNAcentral lists this ribosomal RNA (868 nucleotides) under Methanosarcina sp. TMA3RMK. RNAcentral's name for it is "bacterial SSU rRNA". It matches the Rfam family "Archaeal small subunit ribosomal RNA", at positions 120 to 989 of the family's 1478-position model. The record is from RNAcentral. Lineage: Archaea; Methanobacteriati; Methanobacteriota; Methanomicrobia; Methanosarcinales; Methanosarcinaceae.
GCAGGCAUACUCGGGAACUGGGGAUAAUUCCGGAUAACGCAUAUUUGCUGGAAUGCUUUAUGCGUCAAAAGGAUUCGUCUGCCCAAGGAUGGGUCUGCGGCCUAUCAGGUAGUAGUGGGUGUAAUGUACCUACUAGCCAGCGACGGGUACGGGUUGUGAGAGCAAGAGCCCGGAGAUGGAUUCUGAGACAUGAAUCCAGGCCCUACGGGGCGCAGCAGGCGCGAAAACUUUACAAUGCGGGAAACCGUGAUAAGGGGACACCGAGUGCCAGCAUCAUAUGCUGGCUGUCCGGAUGUGUAAAAUACAUCCGUUAGCAAGGGCCGGGCAAGACCGGUGCCAGCCGCCGCGGUAACACCGGCGGCCCGAGUGGUGAUCGUGAUUAUUGGGUCUAAAGGGUCCGUAGCCGGUUUGGUCAGUCCUCCGGGAAAUCUGAUAGCUCAACUAUUAGGCUUUCGGGGGAUACUGCCAGACUUGGAACCGGGAGAGGUAAGAGGUACUACAGGGGUAGGAGUGAAAUCUUGUAAUCCCUGUGGGACCACCUGUGGCGAAGGCGUCUUACCAGAACGGGUUCGACGGUGAGGGACGAAAGCUGGGGGCACGAACCGGAUUAGAUACCCGGGUAGUCCCAGCCGUAAACGAUGCUCGCUAGGUGUCAGGCAUGGCGCGACCGUGUCUGGUGCCGCAGGGAAGCCGUGAAGCGAGCCACCUGGGAAGUACGGCCGCAAGGCUGAAACUUAAAGGAAUUGGCGGGGGAGCACAACAACGGGUGGAGCCUGCGGUUUAAUUGGACUCAACGCCGGACAACUCACCGGGGGCGACAGCAAUAUGUAGGCCAAGCUGAAGACUUUGCCUGAAUCGCUGAGAGGAG